UAAAGUUGAGAAACGCAUACUCGGUGAA
RNAcentral lists this small RNA (28 nucleotides) under Bombyx mori (domestic silkworm). Its description in RNAcentral is "ovarian small RNA-18423". The record is from RNAcentral. Lineage: Eukaryota; Metazoa; Arthropoda; Insecta; Lepidoptera; Bombycidae.